Molecule: ribosomal RNA, 326 nt
Filed under: uncultured eukaryote
Lineage: Eukaryota
Description: partial 18S ribosomal RNA
Rfam family: Eukaryotic small subunit ribosomal RNA
Source: RNAcentral
CCCUUAGAUGUUCUGGGCCGCACGCGCGCUACACUGACGAAGUCAGCGAGCAUGUCCUACGCCGACAGGUGCGGGGAAUCUUGUCAAACUUCGUCGUGAUGGGGAUUGAUUUUUGAAAUUCUUGAUCAUAAACGAGGAAUUCCUAGUAAGCGCAAGUCAGCAGCUUGCGUUGAUUACGUCCCUGCCCUUUGUACACACCGCCCGUCGCUACUACUGAUUGGAUGUUUAAGCGAGGUUCUCGAACUGCUAGCGACUUAGCUUCGGUGAGGUCGCAGUGUGGGAAGUGAACCUAGCUUUGGUGUCUAGAGGAAGUAAAAGUCGUAACA